GUAAGAAAGACAUCGAGGCCCUGGAGCGUGUCCAGAGGAGGGCAACAAAGCUGGUGAGGGCUCUGGAGCACAGGCCUUAUGAAGAGCAGCUGAAGGAGCUGGGAUUGUUCAGUCUGGAGAAGAGGAGGCUCAGGGGAGACCUUAUUGCUCUCUAUAACUACCUGAAGGGAGGUUGCAGUGAGCUGGGGGGCAGCCUCUUCUCUCGUGUGACUAGUGAUAGGACUAGAGGGAAUGGCUUCAAGCUGCACCAGGGAAGAUUCAGGCUGGACGUUAGGAAAUACUACUUGUCUGAAAGGGUGGUCAGGCACUGGAAUGGGCUGCCCAGAGAGGUGGUGGAGUCAUCGACCCUGGUGGUGUUCAAAGAGCGUUUGAGAAAGAGAAAAACAAGCAGCCAUUUGGUUUCCUUACAAAAUCCCAAUCCCUGCAGAACACCUGAGGUGAAACCCCUACGUACAAGGCUGGGGCCUAGCUAGGAGCCCACCCCAGAAUGAAUUCCAGCAGCACAGGGCCACCAUUCCUGCCCACUGCAGGAGCCCAUAUAUUUCAGCAAAGCCUGUCCUUAUUUUUCAAAGUGCAAUGGAAGCAUUAGGCCUAUUGUUCACAUUUCAUUGCUAAUUUUUAGCUCUCUGUGAGUUAUGCCUUCCUUUAGAAAGCAACUUUAACAGAGGCUAUUCUUCAGCAGAAGUUUCUUCCAAUUCAUCAGCUUCACCACCACUUUUUUGUUUAUAAAAGUCAUACCACCUUUUAAGCAAUUCUUUUGCCAUCGUAUCCUAAAAAUCUCACCCAGUGUUCCUUCCAGUCCCACACAGCUCUUUUUUAGCUCAGUGCAGUCCUCCAAAAAAGACACUAGCUUGACACCAGAGCAGUGGGAGCUCUGCAACCCACAGCCAGCUGGCUCCAGUGGACGCUGGAGGAAGCCAGGCACUGACAUGAAGCUAACAGAGGCAGAGGAGCAAACCUUAUCUGGUCCAGCCUCCUUUCACCAGGGUAUUAAGGAUCCAUCUUCAAGCACUUAGGCUCCUUUGCUUAAUCUCCCCUUAACUCCUGAGAGGCCCUAGAGCAGCUUCUUUGAAUUAAUAGUUUUCAGUGCUAAGAGGCUCAGGAAUGAUUCUGAAGCAUGCCAUUUUGGAAAUGCCAUACUGGCUCUCCUUGGCCCUCUCCCAAAGCACCUAUUUCUUCCCUUCAUCUGCUACACGUGCAGCAAUCCUGCUCAGAUAAUCAGGGGAACCGUGAGCCCAAACCAAAUUCCAGAUGGUCAACAAGAAAAGGACAGAAAUAACCACCUAACUCUUAAUGUCUGCAUAAGGAGGACCGUAGUUUUGUUGUUGUUGUUUCAUCUUUCUGUGGAAAUAAAGUAAUAGUCCAUUUUUUAAUCCAAUAUCAGAUCUCUACAGAAGAUAUUUUCCUCAAUGUUCACCACUAGAAAGUAUAAUAUAUCUUUUUCUUUUCCCUAAAGAGAUUAAAGUGCAAUUAUUGCUGGAAUUUGUC
Molecule: long non-coding RNA, 1488 nt
Organism: Gallus gallus (chicken)
Lineage: Eukaryota; Metazoa; Chordata; Aves; Galliformes; Phasianidae
Source: Ensembl